Molecule: long non-coding RNA, 3564 nt
Organism: Camelus dromedarius (Arabian camel)
Lineage: Eukaryota; Metazoa; Chordata; Mammalia; Artiodactyla; Camelidae
Exons: 3
Source: RefSeq, a predicted model, not a curated record
AUGAACUGGAAAAGAAGAGAGGGGAAAAUAAUAAAAAGAGGAAAUUGGUUUUCACAACACACUCAAAGCCUGAGUAGCAGAGGAGAACUUUAAUUAUCUCCAGUCACAAAGAGAGACAGGAAAUUUGGACUUUUAAUUAGCCAUUUGGAGUGCAGUUGGAUAUUUUUUUAGCUAGAUAAUUUAAACGCGAAUAAUUCAAGUCUGACUAAAUGAAAGUCACAUAAUCAGAAUGCAGAUAAUUGAAUUUCUACUGCAUUCAUUAAUUCAGUGUGGAGGGAAACGUCUGUUCAUCAAGGCAAACUUGUGAAUUGCUUCUUCUACAGAGUACUUAGUCUGCCCAGAAACACACGCCUCGAUGUCUUCUGAAUUCAAAUGGCUCUGCAAGAAGAGGUGAAGGCUGCUAUCUGAAAGCAAGAGUGCGUUCUGCAGGACCCUAUGUAAAAGAUGAAAGGAGAAAUAAUCAGUGGACAGGGAUGGACAGAGGGUGGCAGAGAGAAAAGCAUUAGAAAUGUGGCAACGAAGUCAUUUCUCUAGUAUGGCAAACUUUGCAUCAGUUAUAGACUCUGCCUAGUAAAGGGAUGAAAGCAUAUGUUAACUUUUAUUCAAUUAUUUGGAAAUUUAAGUAAGUAAAAACAUGAAGCUAAUAGUUAAGAACAUCUGUUAAAAGAAUAACUUCAAGGACAUUUCUUCAAUUUAACCAUCUGUUAUGACCAUGUGGAUUAAUUAUGGAAAUAUUUUGCUUAUAUAGUCAUAGAAAUUUAUUCUACUUAAAAAAAAAUUUACUGCCAAGCAGCACGUCAAUUCUGUGAUCUUUAUUGGCUAGGCUGUCAUGAAACAUCAAAACUUUCAACUACUAUUAAAAAUUAUAUUAAAAAGUCAGUACAUUUCUCAGCAUGUUUUACACUUUAAAAUUUUACAAGUAUACUUAUAUACAUCUUUACAAGGGCUCAGUUGAGAGGUGGCUUUUUUUUUUUGAAUACUUAAGAUUGACUAGACAUUUCUCCAAAAGCUUCAGCAGUAUUGCGUAUCUAUGUUGUUAAAAUGAGUCACUAAAUAAAAUUGCUCCCAGCUAGUUUUACCAUACAUAUCUUUCAAAUAUGGUAAUUUUGUAAUCAGUACCUACUAGCUUUCCGACAUUCAGGAUCAAAGUUUACAAAGAGAGUACAGAUUUCAGCUAGGGCAUCAGAACUACAUGGAGAAUUUAAAAACCAUCAUGGAGCAAAAUCUACAUAUGCUCAAAUUCAUAUUAUCCGUGAAUGUGCCUUUUUCCAAAAUGCAUGUCUUGGAACAGGAAAAUAAGUCAAAGAACAUUCUGUAUUUAAAUAAAAACUGGUUUCAGCUUUUUAGCCAAGAUUUUGAUGUAUGAUCAUUUAGUCUCUAUUAACAGUUCAAUAAUGAUAUAACAUGAGACACUAAGACCAGAUAGAUGUAGGGGACAGAACUGAAACACUGAAAUUCAAGUAUAUUUCUGCCCAACAUGGGAUUUUUCCUACAGAGAGCUAUGAAAAACAGAUUAUGUAUUCCAGACCAAAUGAAACUUACCUUAUAUUCUGCAUUUUAAAAUAAGUAAUGAGACACGUAAAUCUCUUUUGGCCAUUCAUACCAAUUUACUUAAAAUCCCCAAUACUUCCUUCUCUUCCAAACAAAAUAGAAUUAUUUCUUCAAGAAGGCAAAUGUCUAAAAAUGCACAGUAUCGAAACCAAAAUCUAGCUGUCGCCUUUGCUUCAAAUAGGCUUACAAAUGUAGUAUGAGAAAAUACUCUUUACUGACCUACUGAAAGGAAAAGUAAAACCUUUGUGCUUUUUUAAAAGGCAGAAUCUCAAGCAAAGCAGCUAAACACUUCCACUGCCUCCAUGUCCUCCGCCCUGGGUUCUCCUAGAAGAUGACUGUAUCACAUGAUAAAGGUUAAUCUGCCAAGUACAAGUAGUGAAGCAUGUUUUCCGCUGAAUACUGCCACCUGGAGGACACACAGGUGAACAGCCAGAGGGAGCCGGCACAUCACCCAGCUCACAAUUCUGAACCCGGAGAAAGGUGUGGCUGGGGAGGGGACAUCUGAACACCCGUGCAGGCCCAGCGUUCAAAGACAGUACAUCUGCAGGGCACAGUUUAGGUUUUCUAAAUUCCCUCUCUCUGGCUGGCAAAAUUUACGCCACCAGACUCCACGGAUAUGAGUUUUAAAUAAGCAGAAAUAAUUUAUUGUAUUUAUGAUUUUUAUUUUCAGUCAAGUGUUUCAUUCCAAAAUUAAAAAUACAAAAUACAAAAUUUGGGGAGUGUUUUCCCAUCCAGUUCAGUGAGCAUAAUUAGUUCAUUUUAAGUAAUAUCUGGUUUACUGUAUAUCACAGAGAGUUAUGAGCGCCACCAUAAUAUUAAAUCAUUUUUUUACUUUAGUCAUGUUUGUGCCACUUUUUCCACAAAUCUAACAGCAGAAAAUCAACUUCAAACUUAAUAUAAAGAGUACUUUGUAAAACAGUCAAUAAAACAUCAUCUUUGUAAGCCUCCAUAAAAAAUAAAUGUAUACAACUUUCAAGCCUUUAUAAAAGGAACAAAAAAUAGCCUCUAGAAUUUUAAGGGAAUUUCUGAAGAGAUAUUUACAACAUAAGUCAAAAGUUAUUCCUUUCUCCAUAAGAACUUUAAACUAAACAAAGCAAAACCUGUUUUUCCUUGAAUUAAACACAGUUGAAAAUCUGGUUUUCCUCAAGAUGAUUUUAUUAGGUGUAUUAUAUAUCGGUUCAGCUGAGAACAUAUAUCGCUGUGCAAAACCACGUAAUCCUAACUAAGGAUGCCCUGAGUCUGCUGAACCCAAUGUAAUGAUAUACAUACACAUCUGUUUAGCAUGUGGAAGGUUAGUGGUUUGAUGUAGGAAAAAAAUUUAAUUCGGCCUGUUUACCUGUUACCAUGAGAAAAAAAAUAAAACAUACAAAUCUUCAUUGAAGGCAUUCAUGAUCUGUGCUGUGGUGCCCUCUACUGAACACAGACUUACAAAAAGUGUAUGUGUGUGUGUGUGUGUAAAACUAGCUGUAGUGUUUCCAAGGUACCCUUUUGCAAAAAAUUUUUUUGAUUUAAAUUCCUUAAAUUUUUAAGGAAUACAAAACAGUAAUAUAGAAGUACAUGUAGUUACAUGCAUGGGAUGAAUUCAGUCAAGAAGGAAAGCCCAGCUCCCAUUUGUGACAGCAGUCAAAUGUAAAAAAUUAGUAGGAUGCCAGAGUUUAUAAUUUGGUCUACAAUUUUUUUCACAACUAUUAGUAAAAGUGACUUACAAUUUAUAAUUAGCCCGGGUGGGGGGGAAGGGGUGGAAUCUAAAAGUUUCUGGCCAAGAUGGAAGAAAAAUGAAUAUGUUUGGAAAAUCUCACAAUCAUACUGACCAAAUUUAGCUAGCAUUUCCGAGUUCUUCUAAUUAUAAACCUUCCAGUUCCUGGGAUUAAUACAGUGCCUCCACCUUUCUUAUAAUUUCCUUGUCUAUAAAAUUGAGAUGAAACUUGACUCCUAAUGUUGUUGUUAAGUAUUGAGUUAAAACAUAAAAAGCUAAACAUAUAGCCAGUAUUCAAUAAAAUGGUACAUAAAUUA